AUUGAACGCUGGCGGCAGGCCUAACACAUGCAAGUCGAACGAGUGGCGGACGGGUGAGUAAUGUCUGGGAAACUGCCCGAUGUAGGGGGAUAACUACUUGAAACGGUAGCUAAUACCGCAUACCCUCGGAUGUGCCCAGCUGUGAUUAGCUUUUAGGUGAGGUAACGGCUCACCUAGUCGACGAUCCCUAGCUGGUCUGAGAGGAUGACCAGGCACACUGGAACUGAGACAAGUUCCAUAAUCCUACGGGAGGCAGCAGUGGGGAAUAUUGCACAAGGGGCGGUAGCCUGAUGCAGCAAUGCCGCGGGGAUGAAGAAGGCCUUCGGGUUGUAAAGUACUUGCAGCGGGGAGGCGGUACCCGCAGAAGAAGCACCGGCUAACUCCGUGCCAGCAGCCGCGGUAAUGC
RNAcentral lists this ribosomal RNA (406 nucleotides) under uncultured bacterium. RNAcentral's name for it is "partial 16S ribosomal RNA". It matches the Rfam family "Bacterial small subunit ribosomal RNA", at positions 30 to 526 of the family's 1533-position model. The record is from RNAcentral.